UGAGGAAUAUUGGACAAUGGAGGCAACUCUGAUCCAGCCAUGCCGCGUGCAGGAAGACUGCCCUAUGGGUUGUAAACUGCUUUUACACGGGAAGAAACACCGCUACGUG
RNAcentral lists this ribosomal RNA (109 nucleotides) under uncultured bacterium. RNAcentral describes it as "partial 16S ribosomal RNA". It matches the Rfam family "Bacterial small subunit ribosomal RNA", at positions 355 to 462 of the family's 1533-position model. The record is from RNAcentral.